This 478-nucleotide ribosomal RNA is filed under the name uncultured bacterium. Its description in RNAcentral is "partial 16S ribosomal RNA". It matches the Rfam family "Bacterial small subunit ribosomal RNA", at positions 28 to 523 of the family's 1533-position model. The record is from RNAcentral.
GACGAACGCUGGCGGCGUGCUUAACACAUGCAAGUCGAACGGUAAGGCCCUUCGGGGUACACGAGUGGCGAACGGGUGAGUAACACGUGGGUGAUCUGCCCUGCACUUCGGGAUAAGCCUGGGAAACUGGGUCUAAUACCGGAUAGGACCCUGGGAUGCAUGUCCUGGGGUGGAAAGCUUUUGCGGUGUGGGAUGGGCCCGCGGCCUAUCAGCUUGUUGGUGGGGUGAUGGCCUACCAAGGCGACGACGGGUAGCCGGCCUGAGAGGGUGACCGGCCACACUGGGACUGAGCUACGGCCCAGACUCCUACGGGAGGCAGCAGUGGGGAAUAUUGCACAAUGGGCGCAAGCCUGAUGCAGCGACGCCGCGUGAGGGAUGGCGGCCUUCGGGUUGUAAACCUCUUUCAGCACCGACGAAGCGCAAGUGACGGUAGGUGCAGAAGAAGGACCGGCCAACUACGUGCCAGCCGCCGCAGUAA